This 440-nucleotide ribosomal RNA is filed under the name uncultured bacterium. RNAcentral's name for it is "partial 16S ribosomal RNA". It matches the Rfam family "Bacterial small subunit ribosomal RNA", at positions 338 to 795 of the family's 1533-position model. The record is from RNAcentral.
CCUACGGGUGGCUGCAGUAGGGAAUUUUGCACAAUGGGCGAAAGCCUGACGCAGCAACACAGCGUGAAUGUUAAGCGCUUCGGGGUGUAAAGUUCUGUCAAUAGGGACGAAUUAUGACUGUACCUAUAAAGGAAGCACCGGCUAACUACGUGCCAGCAGCCGCGGUUAUACGUAGGGGGCAAGCGUUAUCCGGAUUUACUGGGUGUAAAGGGAGCGUAGACGGCAGGGCAAGUCUGGAGUGAAAGGCGGGGGCUCAACCCCCGGACUGCUCUUGAAACUGCCAGGCUGGAGUGCAGGAGAGGUAAGUGGAAUUCCUAGUGUAGCGGUGAAAUGCGUAGAUAUUAGGAGGAACACCAGUGGCGAAGGCGGCUUACUGGACUGUAACUGACGUUGAGGCUCGAAAGCGUGGGGAGCAAACAGGAUUAGAUACCCUGGUAGUC